GUGAGGAAUAUUGGUCAAUGGGCGCAAGCCUGAACCAGCCAUGCCGCGUGCAGGAAGACGGUCCUAUGGAUUGUAAACUGCUUUUAUUUGGGAAUAAACUCCGGUACGUGUACCGGCCUGAAGGUACCAAAUGAAUAAGCACCGGCUAACUCCGUGCCAGCAGCCGCGGUAAUACGGAGGGUGCAAGCGUUAUCCGGAAUCAUUGGGUUUAAAGGGUCCGCAGGCGGUCUUAUAAGUCAGUGGUGAAAGCAUACAGCUCAACUGUAGAACUGCCAUUGAUACUGUAGGACUUGAAUUCGAUCGAAGUGGGCGGAAUGUGACAUGUAGCGGUGAAAUGCUUAGAUAUGUCACAGAACACCGAUAGCGAAGGCAGCUCACUAGGUCUGGAUUGACGCUCAGGGACGAAAGCGUGGGGAGCAAACAGGAUUAGAUACCCCUGUAGUCC
Molecule: ribosomal RNA, 445 nt
Filed under: uncultured bacterium
Lineage: Bacteria
Description: partial 16S ribosomal RNA
Rfam family: Bacterial small subunit ribosomal RNA
Source: RNAcentral